AAUUUGGGGAAAAAAAUCGAAAUUUGAAAAUAAAAAAUCAAAAUUUAAAAAUAAAAAAUCAAAAUUUAAAAACAAAAAAUCAAAAUUUAAAAACAAAAAACCAAAAUUUGAAUGUGAAAAUUAAAAAAAAACGAGAGGAAUUGUGAAAAAGGAGUGAAAAGGAGGAAAAAUCACCGACUUCCGGAGGCGCAAAACAGCCGAGGAGCAACCGGGUCCCGCUCUGCGCUGGGGAGGAAAAACGGGGCAGGGUUUUUGGGGGGGUUUCGGCCUUUUUUGGGCAAUUUGCCCUAUUCUUCGCUUCCCUGGCCUCCCUCGCCUGCUUCCGGCCUCCAUUUUCGCCUUUCUGGCCUCUUUUUUUUUGCCUUUUCGCCCUCUUUUUUGGCCUUUUCGGCCUCUUUUUGGCCUUUUUGACCUCUUUUUUCCCUCUUUUUUGU
Molecule: long non-coding RNA, 434 nt
Filed under: Anser cygnoides (Swan goose)
Lineage: Eukaryota; Metazoa; Chordata; Aves; Anseriformes; Anatidae
Description: lncRNA (ENSACDG00005008850.1)
Source: RNAcentral